This 483-nucleotide ribosomal RNA is filed under the name uncultured bacterium. Its description in RNAcentral is "partial 16S ribosomal RNA". It matches the Rfam family "Bacterial small subunit ribosomal RNA", at positions 28 to 507 of the family's 1533-position model. The record is from RNAcentral.
GAUGAACGCUGGCGGCGUGCCUAACACAUGCAAGUCGAACGGAGUCGUUUUGGAAAUCUCUUCGGAGAUGGAAUUCUCGACUUAGUGGCGGACGGGUGAGUAACGCGUGAGCAAUCUGCCUUUAAGAGGGGGAUAACAGUCGGAAACGGCUGCUAAUACCGCAUAAAGCAUUAAAUUCGCAUGUUUUUGAUGCCAAAGGAGCAAUCCGCUUUUAGAUGAGCUCGCGUCUGAUUAGCUAGUUGGCGGGGUAACGGCCCACCAAGGCGACGAUCAGUAGCCGGACUGAGAGGUGGAACGGCCACAUUGGGACUGAGACACGGCCCAGACUCCUACGGGAGGCAGCAGUGGGGAAUAUUGCGCAAUGGGGGAAACCCUGACGCAGCAACGCCGCGUGAUUGAAGAAGGCCUUCGGGGUGUAAAGAUCUUUAAUCAGGGACGAAACAAAUGACGGUACCUGAAGAAUAAGCUCCGGCUAACUACGUG